AUCAUCUGCCAACGACUUAAAGGCACUCGAUUUCAUUUGAUCUCGGAAGCUAAGCGGGGUUGACCCCGAUUGGCACUGGAUGGGAGACCACCUGACAAUAGCAGGUGCGGUAGGGC
This 116-nucleotide ribosomal RNA is filed under the name Petromyzon marinus (sea lamprey). Lineage: Eukaryota; Metazoa; Chordata; Hyperoartia; Petromyzontiformes; Petromyzontidae. The record is from RNAcentral.